AGUUGGCUGCCUUCUAGUUAUAGUUAAGCUAACUGUAACUAUAGCUUUUUCUCUGUGGCUGCACAUCUCUGGUGCUUUUUCCUCUAAAAAGGAACCUAGUCAUAUGGAAUAAGGGCCCCAGCCAUAUGACCUGUUUUAAUUUUUAUUACAUUUCUAAAGGCUUUAUCUCCAAAUGAGGUCACAUGGGGGAUUAUGGUUUCAACAUAUGAAUUUUGAGGGGGUAUAAUUCAGUAUACAAUAAUAAGUAUAUGCAAUUUGAGAUAAUAUGAUUAUUUGAUUUUAAAUAUACAUUUUCAUAUUUAGAAAAUGAGAGAUAGUUAGAAAUUUACAUAAAAUGUCUGACAAUGACUGUUGAACCAUAAUCUAUUUUUAAUAUAUUAUUUUUAUUCCUCUAUUUUGCUGCAGUAUGGAUAAGUAAAGUUAAUUAACACAGAUGUAUAACCAGAAGUGAAAUUGCUAGAUAAUAUGGAAUGGAAGGAUCAGUGCAAAAGGCUACCUGGCUGGCUUUGGGGAUCAUUCCUUUUACGCGAAGAAAAACAUAAAACACAUCUAUUUAAGUAAUCCAGAGUACUUUGCCCAAUUGCUAUUCAGGUAUUCAUUUCUAUAAGAAAUAUUACUCACAGCCACAGUGCCAUACUAAUAGCACCCUGUGGUAACAUACACAUCAGGACAAAGCUGAGGCAUUUCUGGAAAAGAAACAUUAAGGAUAUUGUGAAACCAUGAUUUUCAAAGCUUGAGAUCAUUAUCUC
RNAcentral lists this long non-coding RNA (749 nucleotides) under Sus scrofa (pig). RNAcentral describes it as "lncRNA (ENSSSCG00025065308.1)". The record is from RNAcentral. Lineage: Eukaryota; Metazoa; Chordata; Mammalia; Artiodactyla; Suidae.